RNAcentral lists this ribosomal RNA (364 nucleotides) under Salmonella enterica subsp. enterica serovar Infantis. RNAcentral describes it as "bacterial SSU rRNA". It matches the Rfam family "Bacterial small subunit ribosomal RNA", at positions 1152 to 1515 of the family's 1533-position model. RNAcentral also lists the same sequence under 5 other names. Lineage: Bacteria; Pseudomonadati; Pseudomonadota; Gammaproteobacteria; Enterobacterales; Enterobacteriaceae. The record is from RNAcentral.
CCAGUGAUAAACUGGAGGAAGGUGGGGAUGACGUCAAGUCAUCAUGGCCCUUACGACCAGGGCUACACACGUGCUACAAUGGCGCAUACAAAGAGAAGCGACCUCGCGAGAGCAAGCGGACCUCAUAAAGUGCGUCGUAGUCCGGAUUGGAGUCUGCAACUCGACUCCAUGAAGUCGGAAUCGCUAGUAAUCGUGGAUCAGAAUGCCACGGUGAAUACGUUCCCGGGCCUUGUACACACCGCCCGUCACACCAUGGGAGUGGGUUGCAAAAGAAGUAGGUAGCUUAACCUUCGGGAGGGCGCUUACCACUUUGUGAUUCAUGACUGGGGUGAAGUCGUAACAAGGUAACCGUAGGGGAACCUGC